CGAUAACCGUGGCUUCACCCAGCACAGCCUUGAUAUAGUGCGUCUUUGGGUCUUUCUUCGCUAUACCCUCCGCAAGCUCUUUGGCUCGGUGCUCAAUUCCUUCGGGCGUUUGCUCUCCCAUCAAGCAUAACGUCACGGGGUCACGGGAAUAGGCAUCAGAUUCAACCAGGGCGAGGGUUGAGGCAUCCUCCACUUCUGCGGGGAGGAUUCGGAUUGCGGGCGGAGUGUGAUCCAUUUUCUAAGACUUUGUUGUUGAUUUUGCUUGGCUUUUUCCUUUGGGGCGGAUGUGGUUUACUGUGGUUGGGGUGUUUGAUGGAAGUAUUUAGUUCGUAUUUAUUAAGUGAACAACGAAUGUUCUCAGCCUCCAAUCCGAGUGAAAGCAUCUUGACUCCCGACGAUGUUUUUUAUUGUGGGGAUCAAGAUUAAGCAGGAAUGUAACCUGAGUCGGCGAGUUGUUCGUCCAAGCUAGGCCUGUUGUGUUCGCCGAUACUACGAAGCUAACCUAAAUUUUGCACAGGUGACUGCUUAAUACAAGCACAUCAUAGUUGCAUUUAUUUAGUAUAUUGCACAGUACAGACAUUUUCCCAAGGCCUUCCAGAAAGAAAAAGGCCCUUUCCCGUUAAUUAUUGCGGCAAACUGUCUCCCCUUUUGCCGUUGGGGUUGUUGUCGGCCCGAGUCCCCCACAUGCUGCCCCUGAAGACACUGUGUCCCCUGUUUGCCAUGAUCUAAUUUUUAUUCCAUUAAGAUCGAAAACUUCUCCCUUCUCAAUUGGCCAAGGCAAUCCUGGUAUAAUCACCUUCAGAAGGAAAAAAAAAAAAUAUCUACAUUUUCAAUUUUCAAAUCGCUUUGUUAUAGCCCAUGUACAGUACAUGUACAUGUACAUACUUCGAGUAGCAGCA
Molecule: small RNA, 899 nt
Filed under: Histoplasma ohiense
Lineage: Eukaryota; Fungi; Ascomycota; Eurotiomycetes; Onygenales; Ajellomycetaceae
Description: hypothetical lncRNA
Source: RNAcentral